CCUACGGGUGGCUGCAGUGGGGAAUAUUGGACAAUGGGCGAAAGCCUGAUCCAGCCAUGCCGCGUGUGUGAAGAAGGCCUUCGGGUUGUAAAGCACUUUCAGUGGGGAAGAAAGCCUUGGGGCUAAUACCCUCGAGGAAGGACAUCACCCACAGAAGAAGCACCGGCUAACUCCGUGCCAGCAGCCGCGGUAAUACGGAGGGUGCGAGCGUUAAUCGGAAUUACUGGGCGUAAAGCGCGCGUAGGCGGUCUGAUAAGCCGGUUGUGAAAGCCCCGGGCUCAACCUGGGAACGGCAUCCGGAACUGUCAGGCUAGAGUGCAGGAGAGGAAGGUAGAAUUCCCGGUGUAGCGGUGAAAUGCGUAGAGAGCGGGAGGAAUACCAGUGGCGAAGGCGGCCUUCUGGACUGACACUGACGCUGAGGUGCGAAAGCGUGGGUAGCAAACAGGAUUAGAUACCCGAGUAGUC
Molecule: ribosomal RNA, 465 nt
Filed under: Vreelandella stevensii
Lineage: Bacteria; Pseudomonadati; Pseudomonadota; Gammaproteobacteria; Oceanospirillales; Halomonadaceae
Description: partial 16S ribosomal RNA
Rfam family: Bacterial small subunit ribosomal RNA
Source: RNAcentral